AAAAUGUGAUAAGUCAUGUGAAUUGCAACUAUCAGUGAAUCAUCGAAUAUUUGAACGCAUCACGCACUCUGGACUUUAAAAACCCAGAGUAUAUCUGUUUGAGUGUCACAGAUAAUUAUAAUCAAUAUGUAAUAAAAUGUAAUGUUUUAUAUACGUUGAAUGUUGAGUCUUUAGAAUUAUCUAAUGACUUUGAAUAUAAAGAGAUGAAUACUAUACAUCAUGUUAUUGAGUACUUGUUAAUUUACAAAUACCAUAUUGAUGAAAGGGAAAGUCUAUCUAUUAAGACAUAGAAAUAUUUUGAUGACAUCAAAUCAGGUAAGAUUACCCGCUGAAUUUAA
Molecule: unclassified non-coding RNA, 338 nt
Filed under: uncultured Amanita
Lineage: Eukaryota; Fungi; Basidiomycota; Agaricomycetes; Agaricales; Amanitaceae
Description: sequence contains ITS1
Rfam family: 5.8S ribosomal RNA (bases 1-108)
Source: RNAcentral